This 496-nucleotide ribosomal RNA is filed under the name uncultured bacterium. Its description in RNAcentral is "partial 16S ribosomal RNA". It matches the Rfam family "Bacterial small subunit ribosomal RNA", at positions 28 to 506 of the family's 1533-position model. The record is from RNAcentral.
GAUGAACGCUGGCGGCGUGCCUAAUACAUGCAAGUCGAGCGAACAGACGAGGAGCUUGCUCCUCUGACGUUAGCGGCGGACGGGUGAGUAACACGUGGAUAACCUACCUAUAAGACUGGGAUAACUUCGGGAAACCGGAGCUAAUACCGGAUAAUAUAUUGAACCGCAUGGUUCAAUAGUGAAAGACGGUUUUGCUGUCACUUAUAGAUGGAUCCGCGCCGCAUUAGCUAGUUGGUAAGGUAACGGCUUACCAAGGCAACGAUGCGUAGCCGACCUGAGAGGGGGGUCGGCCCCCCGGGACCUGGGCCACGUUCCCGCCCCCGACGGGGGGCAGCGGUGGGGAUUCUUCCGCAAGGGGGGAAAGCCUGCCGGAGCAACCCCGCGGGGGUGAGGAAGGUUUUCGGGUCGUAAACCUCUGUUUUUGGGGAAAAAAAAAUUUGAAAGUAACUAUGCCCGUCUUGGCGGUCCCUAAGCAGAAAGCCCCGGCUACCUACGU